UACUGUUUUCCGAGCAUCAUUCUUUAAGCCAAAAGACCAUGCUGAAUAAGGUUGGCAUCCACAAGAAAACCCAGCACUAAUGAAAUAAGUACACCCUUUUCACAGGUUCUCCAUCUCCCAGGAAAUUCACCUUUAGCACUAAAAGUCUCAGAAAUUCAAGUGAUAGAAGAACAAGAUAAUGACACCACAAGAAAACAGAUAUAUCCACAAUGUGGGACAUUCUGCAGGACAACUGACCCACUUUCCACAAGCAGUCAAUCAAUGGCACAGAAAACCAAUGGGGGAGGAGAGCUGGAGGUUGCCCUUGAUUAAAAAAGACUUAACAUCCAA
Molecule: long non-coding RNA, 330 nt
Organism: Talpa occidentalis (Iberian mole)
Lineage: Eukaryota; Metazoa; Chordata; Mammalia; Eulipotyphla; Talpidae
Exons: 3
Source: RefSeq, a predicted model, not a curated record